RNAcentral lists this ribosomal RNA (526 nucleotides) under uncultured bacterium. RNAcentral's name for it is "bacterial SSU rRNA". It matches the Rfam family "Bacterial small subunit ribosomal RNA", at positions 33 to 518 of the family's 1533-position model. The record is from RNAcentral.
ACGACGCUGGCGGCGUGCCUAACACAUGCAAGUCGAGCGGAGACAUGUAACGGAGAGGGAAGAUUCGGUUGGAACUCGAAGGUACAUGUUUAGCGGCGGACGGGUGAGUAACGCGUGAGCAACCUGUCCCUUACAGGGGGAUAACACAUCGAAAGGUGUACUAAUACCGCAUAAGACCACGGGAGGACAUCCUUCAGGGGUCAAAGGAGCAAUCCGGUAAGGGGUGGGCUCGCGUCCGAUUAGAUAGUUGGUGAGGUAACGGCCCACCAAGUCGACGAUCGGUAGCCGACCUGAGAGGGUGAUCGGCCACAUUGGGACUGAGACACGGCCCAAACUCCUACGGGAGGCAGCAGUGGGGAAUAUUGGGCAAUGGGGGGAACCCUGACCCAGCAACGCCGCGUGAGGGAAGAAAAGGUUUUCGGAUCGUAAAACUCUGUUGUCAGAGAAGAACAAGUUGGAGAGUAACUGCUCCAGCCUUGACGGUAUCUGACCAGAAAGCCACGGCUAACUACGUGCCAGCCGCCGC